AGCUACUGGCCAUUAUAGUCAGAUAAACAAGAGAGUUAGUUAGAACAAGAAGUUGUUGUCACACACAUAAUUCUGCAUUGCGGUCUAUGAAAGUGCUCUGUCAUAUGGUCAGUAACGUGUGUGUGUGUGUGUUUAUAGCUCCUAACAGGGGGCAGGUCUCUAAUUAUCAUGGUUACAGAGGCAUGGCCAACAGAUUGCUGGACACACACUCCAACGGACAGCUACUGACCUGAAGAGUGUGACGUUGGGUCCGGGUGCACCGCCAAAGGAACCGGGGUUGCCUCAGCUGGCUUGGCUGGUUUCCACGCCUUAGCUGGCUCGAGAGGUUUCUUUGCCUCGGUUGGCUCGGCAGGCUCCCAUGCUCGUCAGGCUCUCAUGCCUCAGCCAGCUCGUCAGGCUCCCAUGCCUCAGCCGGCUCAUCAGGCUCACAUCCCACGUAAUGCCUCAUCCGGCCUGUCAAACUCCCGUGCCUCAGCCAGCUUGUCAGGCUCCCAUGCCUCAGCUGGCUCGUCGGGCUCCCACGCCUAAGCCGGCUCGUCGAGCUUCCUUGCCUCAGCCGGAUCGUCCUACUCCUAUGUCUCUGCUCGUCCGUCAGGCUCACCCAGGUCCCUAGAGGGGGGGGGGGGUACUGUCACGCCUGCCCCCGCUCCCCUACCUGGCACUCGAGGGCGCCAGGCUGCCCAUCAUUACGCGCACCUGUCACCCUCGAUACGCGCACCAGCCACCUGGACUCCAUUACUUUGUUGAUUGCCGCUUCUAUAUCUGUCUGUUCCUCAGUUUGUUCCCCCUGUCAGGAUUAAUGUCAUUUUGUUUCCCCUGUCCAGACGCUGUCCCUGUCCUGUUUCAUGUCUGCUUAUUAAUUAAAUGUUCACUCCCUGUACUUGCUUCUCGUCUCUAAGAAUCUGUCCUUACAUUAUGCCUUGUAUGUGAAUCCAUUCAUUGUACAAUUUCAUUAUUUAUCUUCCUUUGAUGUAUAGCAUUCUCAGACCAAUUCUUGCCAGUCUAUGUCAACUCAUUGCCUAAUGCUUUCAUGUAUAUUUUAAAUGAUCUUUAUGGAGUCAGAUAAACAUUCUUAUUACGAGUCACGUGAGGUAUUUAAAAUAUCAUAUAUACUGUUUAUAAGCAUGUCAAAUAUUACUGCCCACCACACACAUACACACACUCACACAGAUAGAGAGAGAGAGAACAUAACAGACACACACACAGAACAGAACUGUAACAGUCUGUGCCUCUCCUCCUGUCAUGCCCUGAUCUGUUUCACCUGUCUUUGUGCUUGUCUCCACCCCCUCCAGGUGUCGACCAUCUUCCCCAUUAACACCUGUGUACUUAUACCUCUGUUUUCUGUUUGUCUGUUGCCAGUUCAUCUUGUUUGUCAAGCUUACCAGCAUUUGUCCUGUCAGCUCCUGUCUUUUCCCAGCCUCUCUUUUUCUCAACCUCCUGGUUUUUGACCCUUGCC
Oncorhynchus tshawytscha (Chinook salmon) is the source of this 1456-nucleotide long non-coding RNA. The record is from Ensembl. Lineage: Eukaryota; Metazoa; Chordata; Actinopteri; Salmoniformes; Salmonidae.